This 75-nucleotide transfer RNA is filed under the name Loxodonta africana (African savanna elephant). It matches the Rfam family "tRNA". From Rfam's summary of the family: Transfer RNA (tRNA) molecules are approximately 80 nucleotides in length. Their secondary structure includes four short double-helical elements and three loops (D, anti-codon, and T loops). Lineage: Eukaryota; Metazoa; Chordata; Mammalia; Proboscidea; Elephantidae. The record is from Rfam by way of RNAcentral.
GGAGCCUUGGCUGUGCAGUGGUUAAGCGCUCAGCUGCUAACUGAAAGGUCAGUGGUUCAAACCCACCAGCCACUC